Molecule: ribosomal RNA, 274 nt
Filed under: uncultured bacterium
Lineage: Bacteria
Description: partial 16S ribosomal RNA
Rfam family: Bacterial small subunit ribosomal RNA
Source: RNAcentral
AUACGGAGGGGGCUAGCGUUGUUCGGAAUUACUGGGCGUAAAGCGCACGUAGGCGGAUUAAAAAGUUAGAGGUGAAAUCCCAGGGCUUAACCCUGGAACUGCCUUUAAAACUAGUAGUCUAGAGUUCGAGAGAGGUGAGUGGAAUUCCAAGUGUAGAGGUGAAAUUCGUAGAUAUUUGGAGGAACACCAGUGGCGAAGGCGGCUCACUGGCUCGAUACUGACGCUGAGGUGCGAAAGCGUGGGGAGCAAACAGAAUUAGAUACCCUAGUAGUCC